This is a long non-coding RNA of Rhea pennata, 1336 nucleotides long. RefSeq lists it as uncharacterized. The record is from RefSeq and is a predicted model, not a curated record. The transcript is spliced from 2 exons. Lineage: Eukaryota; Metazoa; Chordata; Aves; Rheiformes; Rheidae.
UGGUUUGGCAGUGAGUUGCCAAAUAGUAAGAAUGGAGACUUCUUCCAAGAAACCUUGAACAACAUUACCUUGUUUGCCCAGCAUGAUGGCUAGUAUGAUCAAAGGCAAAAGGUGAAAGUGUGGGCAGCCACUAUUUUCAUAAUAAUUGAUUAGUUGUGUCUCUGUCAUCGUGCAUAUCAGUACACACUGCCCUAGCUGUUUCUUCCAGGACCUGCCUCUCCUGGGCAGCCAUCUCUGUACUCCACUGCCUGCUGUUGGCUUCCACGGGAUUUCCAGGUGUUCCAAGUGUCAGCCACUGACACUACCAUGUACAGCUACUCAUAUUCUGCCUGCUUCACACUGUGUUUUAAUCUCACUUCUCUCAGAGACCACAUUGCUUAGUCUUGCCCAAAUACAUGACACUGGAUUCUUUCAACAGCUGUCUUUGGUAAGGCAGUGUCGUAAGUUAUGGGUGCGUUAUCAGUAGGGGGAUUUGCCAAUUUGUACACAGUGACAUUCAACUCAUGCAACAGCCUAACUCCAGGGUCUGUGAGCCCCUUCACCUUUGAGAGUUUCCUUUUUCUUUUUUUAAAUAAUUAAAAAAAAUUUCUGAUUUUCUAAUUUUAAGUUAGCAUAGCAGAUUAAUUUUAGUGCCAGUCUUCACUGUACUUCAAGAGUUUUGCUUGGUCUCUUUUUCUCUAGCCUGCAAAUGAAAACAUAGUGAACUGGGAAGCAAGAAGGCAUUUAUAGUCAGCUAGUCAGCUUGAUUAAGGACUGAAUCUUUAUCCUUAGAUUUUGAAAGUGUGUAUUUUAUAAACUCUUUAAUUUCAUAUAAACGCAUCCCCACAUACGCAUUCUCACAUAUGCACUCCUAACUUCUCAACAUGUUCACGUUUCUAAUUCCAAUUUGCAACAUUUUAUCUGUUCCUGAGCAAAGCACUUUCUUUCUUUAUGUCCAAGACCCAAACAAACAAAAUUCCUUCACCUAUCUUUCUGAAUGACUGAAGAGAUGACAGGGGAAAAAAGCAAAACAAUCAAAUUUUCUCCCACUUAAAGUGAAAAUUUUACUGAAGCUUGUUUUGUUGCAUAGGGUUAUAGUGAAAACAGAUGAUAUUUGAAACCUGGCUUUGAAACAAUCCUCGCUCCAGCCUUCGCAGGCAACCAAACAUUCUCCUUCUCCACAUCACUUCCAACAGCCCUUUGAUACAGAAUAUUUCCCUGUUUAUCCUCUAAACAAAUUAUAAUUGCUGAUCUGAAGUCAUUUGUGUACUAAGAAAAUGGUGUAUUGUUAACUCCAAAUCCCACUAUUCUCUAUAAAUCCUUCUGCCGUAAAGAAUUAAAUAAAAUGAUGAAACAA